CCUACGGGGGGCAGCAGUCGAGAAUUUUUCGCAAUGGGGGAAACCCUGACGGAGCGACGCCGCGUGGAGGAUGAAGGUCUUCGGAUUGUAAACUCCUGUCAUUUGAGAACUAGUAUCAGAAGAGGAAGAGGCGGCUAACUCUGUGCCAGCAGCCGCGGUAAUACAGAGGCCUCAAGCGUUGUUCGGAUUCAUUGGGCGUAAAGGGAGCGUAGGCGGUCGGGUAAGUCGGAUGUGAAAUCCUGGGGCUCAACCUCAGAACUGCAUUCGAUACUGCUCGGCUAGAGGACUGGAGAGGUGAGUGGAAUUCACGGUGUAGCAGUGAAAUGCGUAGAUAUCGUGAGGAAGACCAGCGGCGAAGGCGGCUCACUGGACAGUUCUGACGCUGAUGCUCGAAGGCCAGGGGAGCAAACGGGAUUAGAUACCCUUGUAGUC
RNAcentral lists this ribosomal RNA (432 nucleotides) under uncultured bacterium. Its description in RNAcentral is "partial 16S ribosomal RNA". It matches the Rfam family "Bacterial small subunit ribosomal RNA", at positions 338 to 795 of the family's 1533-position model. The record is from RNAcentral.